Dipodomys ordii (Ord's kangaroo rat) is the source of this 102-nucleotide small nuclear RNA. The record is from Ensembl. Lineage: Eukaryota; Metazoa; Chordata; Mammalia; Rodentia; Heteromyidae.
GCGGUGUAUGAAAGGAGAAAAGGUUAACACUCCCCUUGACAAUGAUGAAAGAGGCGGUUAAGACAUUGCCACCUACUUCGCAGCAUCGGACCAUUUUUUUUA